This 76-nucleotide transfer RNA is filed under the name Dehalococcoidales bacterium. RNAcentral describes it as "tRNA-Trp". It matches the Rfam family "tRNA". From Rfam's summary of the family: Transfer RNA (tRNA) molecules are approximately 80 nucleotides in length. Their secondary structure includes four short double-helical elements and three loops (D, anti-codon, and T loops). Lineage: Bacteria; Bacillati; Chloroflexota; Dehalococcoidia; Dehalococcoidales. The record is from RNAcentral.
AGGAGUGUAGCUCAGUUGGUAGAGCAGCGGUCUCCAAAACCGCUUGUCGCGGGUUCGAUUCCUGCCACUCCUGCCA